GACGAACGCUGGCGGCGUGCCUAAUACAUGCAAGUAGAACGCUGAAGGAGGAGCUUGCUUCUCUGGCUGAGUUGCGAACGGGUGAGUAACGCGUAGGUAACCUGCCUGGCAGCGGGGGAUAACUUUUGGAAACGAUAGCUAAUACCGCAUAAUAGCAGUUGUUGCAUGACAACCGUUUGAAAGUUGCACUUGCACCACUACCAUAUGGCCCUGCGUUGUUUUAGCUAGUUGGUGGGGUAACGGCUCACCAACGCGACGAUACAUAGCCGGCCUGAGAGGGUGGUCGGCCAAAAUGGGACUGGGGCACGGGCCAGGCUCCUACGGGGAGCAGCAGUAGGGGAACUUCGGCAAUGGACGGAAGGCUGACCGCGCAAAGCCGGGGGAGGGAAGGAGAUUUUCGGGUCGGAAAGCUCUGUUGUAAGGGAAGAACGAGUGUGAGAGUGGAAAGUUCACACUGUGACGGUACCUUACCAGAAAGGGACGGCUAACUACGUG
RNAcentral lists this ribosomal RNA (495 nucleotides) under uncultured bacterium. RNAcentral's name for it is "partial 16S ribosomal RNA". It matches the Rfam family "Bacterial small subunit ribosomal RNA", at positions 28 to 507 of the family's 1533-position model. The record is from RNAcentral.